AGGACGAACGCUGGCGGCGUGCCUAACACAUGCAAGUCGAACGGGGGUAGCAAUACCCUAGUGGCGAACGGGUGCGUAACACGUGAAGAACUUGUCCAUCGGCGGGGGAUAGCCGGCCCAACGGCCGGGUAAUACCGCGUACGCUUGUCGAGUGGCAUCACUUGACAAGGAAAGCAGCAAUGCACCGAUGGAGAGCUUCGCGGCCUAUCAGCUUGUUGGCGGGGUAAUGGCCCACCAAGGCAACGACGGGUAGCUGGUCUGAGAGGAUGAUCAGCCGCAUUGGGACUGAGACACGGCCCAGACUCCUACGGGAGGCAGCAGUGGGGAAUAUUGCGCAAUGGGCGAAAGCCUGACGCAGCGACGCCGCGUGUGGGAUGACGGCCUUCGGGUUGUAACCACUGUCGCGAGGGACGAAAAAAUGACGGUACCUCGAAAGGAAGCACUGGCUAACUCUGCGCCAGCAGCCGC
RNAcentral lists this ribosomal RNA (468 nucleotides) under uncultured bacterium. Its description in RNAcentral is "SSU rRNA". It matches the Rfam family "Bacterial small subunit ribosomal RNA", at positions 26 to 518 of the family's 1533-position model. The record is from RNAcentral.